RNAcentral lists this long non-coding RNA (8174 nucleotides) under Citrus sinensis (sweet orange). RNAcentral's name for it is "long non-coding RNA (CSIN_LNC004495)". The record is from RNAcentral. Lineage: Eukaryota; Viridiplantae; Streptophyta; Magnoliopsida; Sapindales; Rutaceae.
ACAAGAAUAUUUAUAACUAUAAGACCAGAUACAAUAACAAUCACAUGGAAGUAUUUAAUAUUUCACAUGGAAGUCUUAUAUAUCCUUCUCGUUAUCACACACAAGCCACAUAUUGAUAGUUAUUAUUAUUUUGAUAUCACAAGCUCGUGUAAUUGACUAAAUUUUGCUUAAAAAUGACUCAGACGAAGCUCUUGGAGGCUAAUAUUUAUAUAACCGAUUAUUACGUGCUUUCAUUAGUAAGGAGGAGGAGAUCAGUGGGACCUAUUUGAAGAAUUUAACUGAUUUUUCGAGCCACUUCAAGUGAAUGAUAGUAUGUGAUCAACCAAUCUCUGGAGGGAUUGAUAAGAAGAACCUCCUUUCUUCAAACAAACAUCCACUUUCUCCUUCAACUGCAAAAUCCUCUCUCUCAUUUCGUGUCCUUCUGUAGCUUCUACCAUUACUCUUCUGAUUGCUCUUUCAAUCUCUUUUCUCUGUAGCUUCCCCUCUAAGUGCAGCCCAAUUCUCCAAACAUGACUAACAUAUCUUGCAUUCACCAUUUGGUCACUAAGAAAAGGCUGACAAAUCAUGGGGACUCCUUCACAUAUACUCUCCAAUGUUGAAUUCCAGCCACUGUGUGUCCAAAACCCUCCAACAGCAGGAUGAGCUAGAACUUCUUGUUGAGGAGCCCAUUUCACUAUGUAUCCCCUUCUAUCUACUUUUUUCAGGAACCCUUUUGGCAAUGGUUCAAGCCAUUCUGCUCCGCGGACUAGUCCUGGUCGAAUCACCCAGAGAAAGGGAACCAUACUAUUGGCUAGUCCCCAAGCUAUCUCCAAAAAUUCUGUCUCGCUAAUAUCAGCAACACUACCAAAGCUUACGUAUAUUACAGAUUUAGGUGCUUGUUUUUCUAACCAAGAAAUGGAGCUUUGAUCUUGUGACCAUAAGCUACUUGAAGAGGCCGGAAAGUACUUGUGAAAUGGGCCUACUGGGAACUCCGAUAUGGAAUUAUAGUACUGUUCGUGUGUUGUGGUCAGUUGAACUUUUUCAAGGUCUUGAAAGGAGUUCCAUAUCAUUCCGGAGGAGGCCUGUAAUUGACUGUCGAUGGCCGAUAACAGUUUAUGAAGAUUUUCUGGAUCUUUUGAUUUAAAUCUUGGAAUGUCUUUGACUCUUAACGGUGGAAGCUCGAUCACCGGUGCUUCUAAUUGGGAAUCUAAUAAGAGGAGAAAGCAAAUGAAAAAUUGUGAUAGUAUGUAGAUUUUUUAAAAUAAAAUAACGAGAACAAAAUUUAGGGAGUACUUCUUGAGUCAUACUCAGAUUUAGACAUCCAUAUGAAUUUUUGUGCGAACACAAUUACAUCGAUGGUAAAUUAAAAAUCGCGUACGUGCACAAAAAUUUAUGUAGACAUCCAGACCAGAGCAUUUUUAAUUUCUUGUAACUCGAAAGCAUUAUCACCAUCGCACCUUGUAUAGGAAGGUAACCCUUUUCCCGUACAAUUGGAUAGGCAGAAAAAGCAAGAUGGGCUGAGACACUAGUGGACUGUAAGACUAACGUGCGAAGCUUAAGGUCAUUAGCAACAGCACGUGCGAAAUGCCAGAUCGAAUCUGUGAUUAAGCAAGCAAAAGAAUCAUCCUCCUGUGUGUUUGACAUCAACAACUUAGCCAAGCAAUCCCGAAAUGGCACGAUGCACUUGGCAUUGAGGGCCGCAAGAAAAGCUGGGAGAUCCUCUGUGGGUGCUUCAAUUUCCGAUACGCCAUUUGAGAAUGAAUGGAAAUCAAAAUGAGGGUACUUACGAGAGUUUGGAGAGUUGAACUCGGUGUGGACAAUGGUGAUUGAAAAUCCUUUGCUAUAGAGGAUGUUUGCAAGCUGAAGCAUAGGGUUUAUGUGGCCUUGGAAUGGCAGAGGGAAAAGUAUCACUCGCCUUCCAUUCCUUGGUAGCAUAUUGCAAGAUUCUUGCUGGGUCUCCAUGCGUAGUUCGAAUGGUCUCUUGUUGCUUUGUUAAUCUCAGUUCUCACUUUAUAGAUAUAUAUUGGCAAUUUCCAUGCUCUUGUAAUUAACAUAUAUCAUUUAUUCUCCUACCGUUUAUAUAGAAGCCGAUAACCCUCUGGCAGUAAUAAUUUAUAAUAUUAUCUUUAUUUUCAUAUGUACUUUUAUUUAUAUUUAUUAUAGAUUAAAUAAAUCACAUGAAUGAAAAUUAAAAUAUAAAAAUAAGUAUUAAAAACAAGAAAUAUAUAUUGAUAUGAAAAAAAUUAAUAAUAAAAUAUUGUCUUAAAUUUUUUAUUUCGUAAACAUUUUUUUAUAAUAAACAUUUUAUAAUAUUUUAAAACUAAAUGUAAAAAGUACAAGAAAAAUAUUUUAUUUAUAAAAAAUUUUUGUUUGUCAUCAAGUCUUCUUAUAAUAAUGUUGUCAUUUUAUAAUAAUUUUCCAUAUAUUUAUUAUAAGAAAAUGCUUAUAAAAUUAAAAAAGUACAAGAAAAAUAUUUUAUUAUUAAUUUUUUCACAUCAAAACAUAUAUUUCUUAUUUUGAAUACUUUAUUAUUUUAUUUUAUUUUUCAUGCAAGUGAUUUAUUUAAUCUAUAAUAAAUAUAAAUAAAAGUUUAUUUGAAAAUAAAGACAAUAUUGUAAACUUAUGAUAUCAGGAGGUUAUUGGCUAUUAUAAAAACAGUAAGGGAGUAAAUGGUAUAUAGUGAUUAUAGUAGGGGGGAGAAAUCGGCAAUCUCCCUAUAUAUAUACAUAUUUGUUUCCUUUUUCACGCAUCAUGUGGAAAAUGAGAUUAUAUAUUAUUUAUAAUUCGCUCACCUAAGUAAGAAAAUGGACAAAUUAAAAGUCAAAUAAUCAUCACAGCAAAAAUAAUUAAUCCUUCUAUAUAUUUUAUUAACGGCUUAUAUAGAAUUUUUCAUGUCUAUUCGUUUUCAUGAUGUCUUUGGCUUCUACAGUCUACUAGCAAAUGUUCAACAGUUCAAGUGGUUGUCUUCAAGUAGCAAUCUUCUAGUAGCCCUCCUCGGCUCUUCUGGCUAUUAACGGUCCUCAAGUAGCAAUCUUCUAACAACCCCGUUUAUAUCUAAAAACAUAUAUAUAUAGUUGGAGAGUCUUUCUCUAGUGUGAAUAUCUGGAUAAUUACAUAAUUUUUUAUAACAUCAUAAAACGAUGGUGUCUGUACGUUAAAAAUGCAAAGAUCUGUAAUUAAGUAUAAUUAUAUAGUUAAGUGUUCGUGAUAUUUGCAUCAAUUUGGGGCUCCACGAAAUUAAUUUACUUAUUUUACUGAAGUGAAUAAAUAUAAGGUCAAUUAAUGCAAAUUCAAGAGACAUUUUGCUCUGAAUAAAGCAUAUAAAUCAAUAAAUGGAGGCCUUGAAUUUUAAUCUAAGCUGAUGAAUGCAAGUUGAAUUUUAAUCUAAGCUGAUGAAUGCAAGAAAACAAGCGUUUCAGCAACAUCUGUAGCAAUCCGUAAACGCAUUUCCUAUGUAAAUGAAAGCUCUUUAGAUGGAUCAUGAAGAUAUUGAAAGAAGGUUCCAUUGGGAAUGAACUCUUAUACAAGUAAAGGAACCUCAACCUCUAAGCAACAUCCCAAAAGCUUAACCACAUGUUUAUGGCUAAUUUGCCAAAGAAUUACAACCUCGUUAAUGAACUCUUCAAGCUUCGAUGAUCAUCAACUACUCUGGAUUUCUUCACUGCAAUGAUUCUUCCAUCUGUCAACAUUCUUUUGUAAACAGUACCUUGACCUCCCCGGCCAGGAAUUCUAUUGACAUUGAAAUGAUCAGUGGCCUUGUCUAAUUCUUGGAAUUAAAUGUCCUGCACUUGUUAAUGCUUUUGCCAAGUGAAUUCAAUUGUUGUUCUAAAAGCAGACCACCAUUCUUUUUUAAAUUUUUCUCUUUUUGCUUGAUUCUUUUUCUUAUUAUGAUGCACAGCCAUAAUGUUCCAAUAGCAAGAAACAAACCUCUAAUGCUUGUGCCAAUGCCUGCAAUAUCAUUCUCUAUCUUGAGCCCGAUCAAAACCAUUUUAUUAUUGUCACUGAUACUUUCAUGCAAGAAAUAAGAAGAAAAAAAAUUAAAUUAUAAUAAAAAAUAUUAGUUUUAAGCCAUUAAACACCUGUCUUGCAUUUAUAAAUACAGUCGAAGAGAAUAGCCAUACAGGUUUAUAAGGUUCCUUCUUUUUGCUUCACUUUUAUUUGUUCUUACAUAAAAUUUAUACACUUAAUUAUCUCGCAAAAUUCCUUGAUAUUGACUUGAAUGUCAGAGGGUUAAUAUCAGAAAAACUUUUAGUGUCCCAUACCGUUUUUCUUAUUGCAGAUGCUCACCUGGACAGAAUCGUGCUGACCAUUUCCUGCUUGCUGGGUUAGAUUCCUAGUUGGCAACUUCUGCUUAGGUUGUUAAAUCAAGGUUAGAAAUCGUCUCUCCACACAAACAAAUUCAAACACUGGAGUUGGAAUCUGGUGAGUGCCCCACGCACUGACCCGAUCAGAUUUUGGCAUCAACAUUUUGGCGCUGUUUGGGGGGAGAUUACAAGAAGCCACUCUACCAAAUCAACACCUGUGAGGGAUUAAGAGGAAUAAGCGAGCACAAAGUGGGUGAAUUAAGGAUGAAUAUCAAUGAUGAUGAAAUGGAGAGAGAAAGAGAGACCUAUGGUUAAUGAAAAUGUCAUUUUACAGAAAACCGCCCAUGAGGUUAGAGAUAGGCAGUGAAUGAAAGAAUAGAAUGGAUGGAAAAACAAAUGGAUAACUUGGCUAUGCCAUUAUUGGAGCUAAGGGAAGGAAAAAAAAGGCUUAAUAAAAAGAAUCCUGCUAGGAAUAUGGACAUGCAUGGGUCAAACCAUAGAAGACAGGCAUCGGAAAGACUAAGAAAAAUUAUACUGAUGCUACCAGGAGUGGAUGAUCCCCUUUAGAAUAGCCCAAACCUCACGAUAGAGACACGAAGAGAGAAGAAUAUUAAGGGAAGAAUGUUGAGGCAACAUCUUGAUGGAGAAAAAUUAGUUUUUUAAUUUUUUAUAAAAACUUUUAGGAUCGCUCUCAUACAAUAUAUAAGAAUUUGUAAUUUAGAAAUCAUACCUUAGAAAUCCGAUUUGGUUUUUUUCGUUGAAGUGAUUUAGGCUCUCAGAUCACGAUCCGUCAUCGCCAUGCCUGUUAGAUCACGAUCCGUCACCACCACGCUUGUUAGAUCACGAACUGUCACCAAUAAUCUUCCAGGUUAUUACUCAUGUUUGAUCUGCACUUGACGUGUGGGCGCCUUUAUCACUACCAAAGCAACUAGCACGAGAAAUUUUUCUCUCAACAAAUAGAGAGAAAAAUCUUUUUCUCUAAUCGGUAUAAAGUGGCUGUACUCUUUAUUCAUUAGAGAUAAUAAGUUUUUUUAUAUCUCGCUUUAGUUUAAAAUCCUAGGCUCCAUUUUUUGUAUUAUCUAAUUCUAUUAAAUCAAGUUUGAUUUAAAUUAAAAAUAAUAAACCAAAAGUAACAUUACUUCUUUCUUGUCACAUGGACCCAUAUUGUAAAAUAACACAAGGCUCCUUAGACACAAAUACAUUACAUGGAGCGUCCCACUAAAUAAUGUAUUUGGAUUUUUAACCCAAAUGACUAGUUAUCUUGCUUAUUAAUCCAGUAGUGGAGCAAUCAAUUAAAUGAGCUAACCCGGGGAUCAUUUGAGAACAUACAGUAGUGGCUACAAUAAUUAGGCAUGUAAUUAAACUAGCCCAAUUAUUUAAUUCCAAAUCUACUCCACUAAAAGAUUGAAACUGACCUCCAUAAUUGUAUGCUCGAAUAAUAAUUCGUCUCAAGCCACAUUGAUUUCUUUACUGCACAAUCUUUUGUACCACAUCAUUAAUUAAAUCGAUAUCUCAACUGUCCAAUCAAUUUAAUUACAUCUUGUUCCUUGAUUCUUACUGGUUUUCUCUAAUGAUCAUUUUCAACAUACUAAAUAUGUUGACAUACUCUGGCCAGAGAAUUCUAUGAUUAAGUGCCGAAAACCUAUCAAGAGAUGUGUUGUACAAAUUCUAUAUUGUCAAUCUAUAACUCCAAUACUCAUAAUUGCUCUCACCAAGAUACCGGGUAAUCUUGACUACAACUAUGUGUCGUGCCCAUUGGUAACUCAAAUGGAAUAACAACUAUAAUUAUGAAAUCAUAAUUAGCUCAAAAUUAAGAUUACAGUAAAAUCAAUGCCCAUGAGAUUUAAUAAGUCUGACAGUCAUUUCAAGGUUAAUUAAAUCUCAUAUUUGAUCUAACUCAAUGUAGUCAAACUAUAUCAGUAAAUUCAUAUAUGAUUAAGACAAAUCAUUCAAUGAAUUAACUACAGUCUUAACUUAUUACAUGUGCUUUUUUACCAAUCAAUCUUUUUCCCUCUAGGUGACCGACCAUAACCUGUUUCUCAGGCUACUCAUAUUUCUCUCUAUGUUUCUUUUUCAGCCGUCCGUAAGAUGAAAUCUAAUGCUGACUUUGGUAAAUGACAAACGAGUGGGAUACGAAACUUAUGAUGCAAAGUAGUUUUGCCCCUUCAUCUUAUUGUAGCUGAAGACCAAAAUUCAAGAACUUUUGGAUGCUUUUGAUGUAUUGAACUAUUUUAAUUUUUUUGUCUUGUUGGGUGUGUAUUGAUUUUUUUAGAGUUUUUCUUUUAUAGAGAUUUUUUAAGAGUUGGAGAUGACUAUUUAGUCAAAAUCUAUUAAAAUAAAUGUUUGAAUAAUUAGAUCCAAUAAAUUUACAAUUUUUUUUUGUUUACAUGUAAACACAUUAAGGAAAUUAAUUAGGAAACUAAAUAAGAAUUUCAUUGUUAAUCGCACGUGUCAUGUGGACUGGCAUAUAUACGACAUGAUUAUCAUCAUAACUUGAUGAGAUGAGAAUGGGCAACAAUCGGACAACCCAUGAAAGGUUGAUGUCAUAGGUCAUUUGCACCUAAAAGGGCAUUUAUGGAAUUUGAAAAUCAAAAUUCGAACAAUUCAGUGUGUAACUCAACGAGCCUGGAGCACGUACGUCGUGUCGUCCUCACAUCGAUUGAUUAGACCUCACGUCGUUAACACACCACAUAAAGAACUGGAAGACACGUGUCCGGCACAGGGGGUCCACGAAUCAUUUCAUCUCGGUGACCGGGUAAGCUGGCGUGGCACAAUUUAUGCCACCGUUUUCGAAUGUGGGACCCAUUUUUAUUAUUUUUUGUGGACCUUCGAAUUAAAAAGUGAAAAAUCUUAUAAUAUUAUAGAAAUUUUAAAAUAUAUAUGUUGUACCAUAUCACUCAUAUAAUAAAUAAAUAAUUUCAUGAUAUAUGUGUAUUUAUUUUAUAAAUUAUUAUGUAAGUGGUAGUUGUAUUAAAUUUAAUUAUAUAUAUCAUACAUAUAUUAAUUAAUUGUAUACAUUUUAAAACUUCUCGGUCCAUGUGAUAAACUAGCAUUAAUUAAUUUCUUUUUCUUUUCUUUUUUCUUUUUAAUUUUGUAUUGCAUGAUGAUACAGUUAAUUGCAUCUCUCGACUGUUUAAUUUUUCUAUUUAAAUAGUAGUGCUCUAGAAAAAUAAAGUAUUUUACUAAAAAAACAAUAUUAAUGAUAGCGUACCAAUAAAAAAAUGAGAUAAAACUGAUUACUUUCAAUUAAUUAAGUAAAUAGGUAUCGGUUUUAUUUUAUUUUUAUUGAUUUCAACUUAUUUCAAUUAUGUCAAAUUUUAUAUUUAAAUAUCAUUCCACGAAUAUAAAACUGUUUUUUCGAUUUAAAAAACAUAUCAAAACAAUAAAGCUUUAAAAGGAAAUUAUUAUUAUUAUUAUUUUUUUUGGUCUGAACCACGAGGUGGUCCUGAGUGGGCCCCAACUAUGGGAGGCACCUUUAAGCCCGUACCACAACCCAGACUAAUCUCCGCUCGCACCGGAUCGGCCCAUAAGGGGUAAAGUACUGGCCAAAGUGGUGAUUCCAUACGAGAGCGGGGCUUGAACCCCUGACCUCUCUUAAGGAGUGAGAGUGCCGAACCACUCACACCAACCAACUUUGGUUAGGAAAUUAUUAUUUUGAUAUCAGAAGCUCGUGUAAUUGACUAAAUUUUGCUUAAAAAUGACUCAGACGAAGCUCUUGGAGGCUAAUAUUUAUAUAACCGAUUAUUACGUGCUUUCAUUAGUAAGGAGGAGGAGAUCAGUGGGACCUAUUUGAAGAAUUUAACUGAUUUUUCGAGCCACUUCAAGUGAAUGAUAGUAUGUGAUCAACCAAUCUCUGGAGGGAUUGAUAAGAAGAACCUCCUUUCUUCAAAC